CCCGAUCAGUCUACAAUCACCUUCUAGGCUACUCUUGUUCUUCACCCUCAUCAUUCAUCAACAUUUCUGAAAAUGCAAACAUCUUUUAUUAGUCUGCUAUUACACUACCCAUAAAUUGAGGAAUUGUCAAGAUGAAUUUAUCUGGAAUUUUUUCAACCCUUUUCCAGAAAUCGAAUCUUGAAUACCUACUGCAUCUUAGAUUAAUCCCCUAUUAGCCCACGAAUUCAGAUGGGUGUAAGUUCAGAGAUAUGGGAUUGCAGUUGCAGACAAAAGGGGUUAAUCUGCUAAAGAAGUAGUUUCCAACCAGAACUGGUGUAGUUGAUGAUCAGUGGCAAUCCACGAAGGGAUGUAGAUGGCCUUUAUUUCUUCUAUAGAGAUUAUGGCAACCAUUUUGUUAACAAUGAUGGAUCAGAUACGCUACUACCUACUUGUGAGAACUAGAGAGAUCUCAGGCUUGGUUUGUUACUUCGAUGAGCUGUUUGGUUACUCUUCUUAACCUGGACUAUGAUUGUAAUGAUUUGAUAUAAAGAAUUGGAGGAGAAAACUAAAUUUGAAGAGCACUUACGCUUUGUUUGGAUAGCAAAGAAGGAAGGAAAAGAAGGGGAGGGAAAAUGGAGGAAGGGAAGGGAAAAGAAAG
Chenopodium quinoa (quinoa) is the source of this 637-nucleotide long non-coding RNA. RefSeq lists it as uncharacterized. The record is from RefSeq and is a predicted model, not a curated record. NCBI's taxonomy places the organism in Eukaryota, Viridiplantae, Streptophyta, Magnoliopsida, Caryophyllales, Amaranthaceae. The transcript has 3 exons.